Molecule: ribosomal RNA, 253 nt
Filed under: uncultured bacterium
Lineage: Bacteria
Description: partial 16S ribosomal RNA
Rfam family: Bacterial small subunit ribosomal RNA
Source: RNAcentral
CACGUAGGGGACGAGCGUUGUCCGGAAUCAUUGGGCGUAAAGCGCGCGUAGGCGGGCCGGAAAGUCGGAUGUGAAAUCCCGGGGCUCAACCCCGGGCCUGCAUCCGAUACUCCCGGGCUGGAGGCAGGUAGGGGAGAUCGGAAUUCCUGGUGUAGCGGUGAAAUGCGCAGAUAUCAGGAGGAACACCGGUGGCGAAGGCGGAUCUCUGGGCCUUGCCUGACGCUGAGGCGCGAAAGCUAGGGGAGCGAACAGG